RNAcentral lists this ribosomal RNA (542 nucleotides) under uncultured Prolixibacter sp. RNAcentral's name for it is "bacterial SSU rRNA". It matches the Rfam family "Bacterial small subunit ribosomal RNA", at positions 355 to 897 of the family's 1533-position model. Lineage: Bacteria; Pseudomonadati; Bacteroidota; Bacteroidia; Marinilabiliales; Prolixibacteraceae. The record is from RNAcentral.
UGAGGAAUAUUGGUCAAUGGGCGCAAGCCUGAACCAGCCAUCCCGCGUGCAGGAAGAAGGCGCUAUGCGUCGUAAACUGCUUUUCCAGGGGAAGAAAUUUAUCUACGUGUAGGUAAUUGCCGGUACCCUGGGAAUAAGCAUCGGCUAACUCCGUGCCAGCAGCCGCGGUAAUACGGAGGAUGCGAGCGUUAUCCGGAUUUAUUGGGUUUAAAGGGUGCGUAGGCGGAUUAAUAAGUCAGUGGUGAAAACCUGCAGCUUAACUGUAGAACUGCCAUUGAUACUGUUAAUCUUGAGUACGGUCAAGGUAGGCGGAAUGUGUAAUGUAGCGGUGAAAUGCUUAGAUAUUACACAGAACACCGAUUGCGAAGGCAGCUUACUGGGCCGCAACUGACGCUGAUGCACGAAAGCGUGGGGAGCGAACAGGAUUAGAUACCCUGGUAGUCCACGCCGUAAACGAUGAUCACUCGCUGUUGGCGAUACACAGUCAGCGGCUAAGCAAAAGCAUUAAGUGAUCCACCUGGGGAGUACGGCCGCAAGGCUGA